UGGUCGUCCGCAGCCGUUGCGAGGUACUAAAGGCAAGCGUAAAGGCGCUCGUCUUUGGUAUGUAGGUGGUCAACAAUUUUAAUUGCAGGGGCUUCGGCCCCUUACUUGAGGAUAAAUUAUGUCUAAUAUUCAAACUGGCGCCGAGCGUAUGCCGCAUGACCUUUCCCAUCUUGGCUUCCUUGCUGGUCAGAUUGGUCGUCUUAUUACCAUUUCAACUACUCCGGUUAUCGCUGGCGACUCCUUCGAGAUGGACGCCGUUGGCGCUCUCCGUCUUUCUCCAUUGCGUCGUGGCCUUGCUAUUGACUCUACUGUAGACAUUUUUACUUUUUAUGUCCCUCAUCGUCACGUUUAUGGUGAACAGUGGAUUAAGUUCAUGAAGGAUGGUGUUAAUGCCACUCC
RNAcentral lists this ribosomal RNA (399 nucleotides) under uncultured prokaryote. Its description in RNAcentral is "partial 16S ribosomal RNA". The record is from RNAcentral.